Molecule: ribosomal RNA, 253 nt
Filed under: uncultured bacterium
Lineage: Bacteria
Description: partial 16S ribosomal RNA
Rfam family: Bacterial small subunit ribosomal RNA
Source: RNAcentral
UACGGAGGGAGCUAGCGUUGUUCGGAAUUACUGGGCGUAAAGCGCACGUAGGCGGCUUUUUAAGCCAGGGGUGAAAUCCCGGGGCUCAACCCCGGAACUGCCCUUGAAACUGGAGAGCUAGAAUCUUGGAGAGGCGAGUGGAAUUCCGAGUGUAGAGGUGAAAUUCGUAGAUAUUCGGAAGGACACCAGUGGCGAAGGCGACUCGCUGGACAAGUAUUGACGCUGAGGUGCGAAAGCGUGGGGAGCAAACAGG